Manis pentadactyla (Chinese pangolin) is the source of this 478-nucleotide long non-coding RNA. RefSeq lists it as uncharacterized. The transcript is spliced from 2 exons. The record is from RefSeq and is a predicted model, not a curated record. Lineage: Eukaryota; Metazoa; Chordata; Mammalia; Pholidota; Manidae.
CAACAGAGGUGAGGCCUAGAACCUCACCCCCCGUUUUGAGAGAAAUCUUCUGCAUCCGUGGAUGUUUUGUUGCCCUCGUCUAGCUUGGAUUAAUACUUAGUCUAUAGGCACACACCUGAUCAUCUACAUUUGCCCUCUUACAGCACUAAAUUAUGUUUUCUACCUUUAUCUUGCAUCUACCUACCACUUCAGCAUUUUGUUAAAAAUAAUAAUAAUAAUAAUAACAAUAGGAGAAAUGUGGGAUCCACAUAUAAAUCAAGUAUAAAAAUCAAACGAAUAUUCAUAUUUGACCUGAUUGUUUAUUGUUCAUAAUAUGUGAUCAAAACUGAAAGUUUCUGUGAUGACUGCCCUUGUACUGUUCACCAUGUAAGAAUUUAUUCACUAUGUAAGAAUUUGUUCACCAUGUAAGAACUUGUCCGUUAUGCUUCAGAAGAUUGGAGACUGACGAGGAUUAGGCUUGGGGUGGAUUAAUGAUUGU